GGAUGAGUGUCCGAGCGGUCUAAGGAGACGGUCUUGAAAACCGUUGAAGGGCGACCUUCCGCGAGUUCGAAUCUCGCCUCAUCCGCCU
RNAcentral lists this transfer RNA (88 nucleotides) under Bifidobacterium samirii. Its description in RNAcentral is "Bifidobacterium sp. 2033B tRNA-Ser". It matches the Rfam family "tRNA". From Rfam's summary of the family: Transfer RNA (tRNA) molecules are approximately 80 nucleotides in length. Their secondary structure includes four short double-helical elements and three loops (D, anti-codon, and T loops). Further hydrogen bonds mediate the characteristic L-shaped molecular structure. tRNAs have two regions of fundamental functional importance: the anti-codon, which is responsible for specific mRNA codon recognition, and the 3' end, to which the tRNAs corresponding amino acid is attached (by aminoacyl-tRNA synthetases). tRNAs cope with the degeneracy of the genetic code in two manners: having more than one tRNA (with a specific anti-codon) for a particular amino acid; and 'wobble' base-pairing, i.e. permitting non-standard base-pairing at the 3rd anti-codon position. Lineage: Bacteria; Bacillati; Actinomycetota; Actinomycetes; Bifidobacteriales; Bifidobacteriaceae. The record is from RNAcentral.